This 595-nucleotide small RNA is filed under the name Pan troglodytes (chimpanzee). Its description in RNAcentral is "processed transcript". Lineage: Eukaryota; Metazoa; Chordata; Mammalia; Primates; Hominidae. The record is from RNAcentral.
CUGCGCCAUGAGAGCCAAGGUGAGCGGUUCCUGGUAGUAAGCUUGGGAGGUAGGAGUUGGCGAGUAGUAGCGGGGAGACGAAGGCAAGUCCGCCAUACCUCCUGAACUACUGGGUUUCGAGGGUGCCCAAGAGCUGGUGGGAGAGAGAAGGUAGUUUGUGAGAGAGCUAGCGGUUAAGUGCUAUGGGUAGAGAGGGUGGGAUUAGAAAAGGGUGGAAUUCUGAUCUUAUGUUGGGAGGGUGUCCAAGUUACUGAUGUAGUUGUUACGACCAAUCUUUCAUACUUCUUGGUUAAGAAUCUGUCCGGUUCUAAAGAGUGCAUUUCAUAUCCUUGCUAAGCCUACUAAUAAGCUUCAUCCCUUUUUUUUUUUUUUUAUUUUAAUUAUCUGCUGCUUGUGAUCGGUUGCUAGUGGAGGAAGAAGCGAAUGCGCAGGCUGAAGCGCAAAAGAAGAAAGAUGAGGCAGAGGUCCAAGUAAACCGCUAGCUUGUUGCACCGUGGUGGCCACAGGAGCAGAAACAUGGAAUGCCAGACGCUGGGGAUGCUGGUACAAGUUGUGGGACUGCAUGCUACUGUCUAGAGCUUGUCUCAAUGGAUCU